GAUGAAGAACGCAGCGAAAUGCGAUACGUAAUGUGAAUUGCAGAAUUCAGUGAAUCAUCGAGUCUUUGAACGCACAUUGCGCCCCCUGGUAUUCCGGGGGGCAUGCCUGUCCGAGCGUCAUUGCUGCCCUCAAGCACGGCUUGUGUGUUGGGCCUCCGUCCUCCUCCCGGGGGACGGGCCCGAAAGGCAGCGGCGGCACCGCGUCCGGUCCUCGAGCGUAUGGGGCUUCGUCACCCGCUCUUGUAGGCCCGGCCGGCGCUUGCCGACACAUCAAUCUUUUUUCCAGGUUGACCUCGGAUCAGGUAGGGAUACCCGCUGAACUUAAGCAUAUCAAUAAGGGAGG
RNAcentral lists this unclassified non-coding RNA (343 nucleotides) under soil metagenome. Its description in RNAcentral is "partial contains 5.8S ribosomal RNA, internal transcribed spacer 2, and large subunit ribosomal RNA". The stretch from base 1 to 120 matches the Rfam family "5.8S ribosomal RNA", at positions 35 to 154 of the family's 154-position model. The record is from RNAcentral.